GACGAACGCUGGCGGCGUGCUUAACACAUGCAAGUCGAACGGAAAGGCCCUGCUUUUGUGGGGUGCUCGAGUGGCGAACGGGUGAGUAACACGUGAGUAACCUGCCCUUGACUUUGGGAUAACUUCAGGAAACUGGGGCUAAUACCGGAUAGGAGCUCCUGCUGCAUGGUGGGGGUUGGAAAGUUUCGGCGGGUGGGGAUGGACUCGCGGCUGAUCAGCUUGUUGGUGGGGUAGUGGCUUACCAAGGCUUUGACGGGUAGCCGGCCUGAGAGGGUGACCGGCCACAUUGGGACUGAGAUACGGCCCAGACUCCUACGGGAGGCAGCAGUGGGGAAUAUUGCACAAUGGGCGGAAGCCUGAUGCAGCAACGCCGCGUGCGGGAUGACGGCCUUCGGGUUGUAAACCGCUUUCGCCUGUGACGAAGCGUGAGUGACGGUAAUGGGUAAAGAAGCACCGGCUAACUACGUG
Molecule: ribosomal RNA, 468 nt
Filed under: uncultured bacterium
Lineage: Bacteria
Description: partial 16S ribosomal RNA
Rfam family: Bacterial small subunit ribosomal RNA
Source: RNAcentral